AACGCACAUUGCGCCCAUUAGUAUUCUAGUGGGCAUGCCUGUUCGAGCGUCAUUAAGUCCUUUAAGCCCUGUUGCUUAGCGUUGGGAGCCUGCUGGCGCAAGCCUGCAACUCCCCAAAAUCAGUGGCGGAGUCGGCGUAUGCUCUAGGCGUAGUAAUUUUCAACUCGUCUCUGUGGCUGCGCUGGCGCCUGCCGUAAAACCCCCAACUCUUAGUGGUUUGACCUCGGAUCAGGUAGGAAUACCCGCUGAACUUAA
This 255-nucleotide unclassified non-coding RNA is filed under the name uncultured fungus. Its description in RNAcentral is "sequence contains ITS2". Lineage: Eukaryota; Fungi. The record is from RNAcentral.